GGUUAAGCGAACAAGCGUACACGGUGGAUGCCCUGGCAGUCAGAGGCGAUGAAGGACGUGCUAAUCUGCGAAAAGCGCCGGUAAGGUGAUAUGAACCGUUAUAACCGGCGAUGUCCGAAUGGGGAAACCCGGUGCACUUCGGUGCAUCAUCGUUAGCUGAAUACAUAGGCUAACGAGGCGAACCGGGGGAACUGAAACAUCUAAGUACCCCGAGGAAAAGAAAGCAACCGAGAUUCCCCCAGUAGCGGCGAGCGAACGGGGAACAGCCCAGAGCCUGAAUCAGCUUGUGUGUCAGUGGAACGGUCUGGAAAGGCCGGCGAUACAGGGUGACAGCCCCGUACACGAAGGCACACAGGCUGUGAGCUCGAUGAGUAGGGCGGGACACGUGAUAUCCUGUCUGAAGAUGGGGGGACCAUCCUCCAAGGCUAAAUACUCCUGACUGACCGAUAGUGAACCAGUACCGUGAGGGAAAGGCGAAAAGAACCCCGGCGAGGGGAGUGAAACAGAACCUGAAACCGUGUACGUACAAGCAGUGGGAGCCUUCGUAAGAGGGUGACUGCGUACCUUUUGUAUAAUGGGUCAGCGACUUAUAUUCUGUAGCAAGGUUAACCGUAUAGGGGAGCCGAAGGGAAACCGAGUCUUAACCGGGCGUUAAGUUGCAGGGUAUAGACCCGAAACCCGGUGAUCUAGCCAUGGGCAGGUUGAAGGUUGGGUAACACUAACUGGAGGACCGAACCGACUAAUGUUGAAAAAUUAGCGGAUGACCUGUGGCUGGGGGUGAGAGGCCAAUCAAACCGGGAAAUUGCUGGUUCUCCGCGGAAGCUAUUUAGGUAG
This 834-nucleotide ribosomal RNA is filed under the name Leptospira borgpetersenii serovar Hardjo-bovis. Its description in RNAcentral is "partial 23S ribosomal RNA". It matches the Rfam family "Bacterial large subunit ribosomal RNA", at positions 1 to 877 of the family's 2925-position model. The record is from RNAcentral. Lineage: Bacteria; Pseudomonadati; Spirochaetota; Leptospiria; Leptospirales; Leptospiraceae.